Molecule: ribosomal RNA, 468 nt
Filed under: uncultured bacterium
Lineage: Bacteria
Description: partial 16S ribosomal RNA
Rfam family: Bacterial small subunit ribosomal RNA
Source: RNAcentral
GACGAACGCUGGCGGCGUGCUUAACACAUGCAAGUCGAACGGAAAGGCCCUGCUUUUGUGGGGUGCUCGAGUGGCGAACGGGUGAGUAACACGUGAGUAACCUGCCCUUGACUUUGGGAUAACUUCAGGAAACUGGGGCUAAUACCGGAUAGGAGCUCCUGCUGCAUGGUGGGGGUUGGAAAGUUUCGGCGGUUGGGGAUGGACUCGCGGCUUAUCAGCUUGUUGGUGGGGUAGUGGCUUACCUAGGCUUUGACGGGUAGCCGGCCUGGGAGGGUGGCCGGCGACAUGGGGCCUGAGAGAGGGCCCAGUGUCCUACGGGAGGCAGCAGUGGGGAAUAUGGCCCAAUGGGCGGACGCCUGAUGCAGCAACGCCGCGUGCGGGAUGACGGCCUUCGGGUUGUAAACCGCUUUCGCCUGUGACGAAGCGUGAGUGACGGUAAUGAGUGAAGAAGCACCGGCUAACUACGUG